Molecule: long non-coding RNA, 24045 nt
Filed under: Arabidopsis thaliana (thale cress)
Lineage: Eukaryota; Viridiplantae; Streptophyta; Magnoliopsida; Brassicales; Brassicaceae
Description: long non-coding RNA (ATHA_LNC000007)
Source: RNAcentral
UGUUUGGAUGUUAUGUCACAAAAAUUAAAAAUUUAGUACUUACAAAAAAAACAAAACAUGGUUGAAAAAAUCUUUCAAUCAAUUACUAAAAAAAAAAGUAAAUGAAGAAAGCAAUACCUCAUGCAGCAGCUUGUGAUAUGAUCCAAAAACAAAUCGGGACAGCUAAAGGUCUUGGCUGGUACAAGCAAAAACUCGGUCUCCUUGAGCCCAUCCAGCUUCUUUCAGGUACUACAACAUAUUAAAAAGAUUGCACAUGUCAAAAUGACUAUUACCAUAUCCAAAUUUCGAUUGUUUCCUACUUUCCUUUUAUCUUCAACAGUUGUUUCCUUUUUCUUAUUUGAGAACGUUCGAGAAAUCUGGACCGUCUAUUUUCAUCAUAUUGCAACUGUGAGAUCUGAUGGUGAUUAUCUAAUCUAAACGGUAAGUUUGUUAGAUUAUGUGGGACCGGGACGAUCUAUUUCUUAAACCUCUGUUACAAACAAACACUCAUGUCUAUUAGUAUUAGGAAAUAAGAGAUGGAUAUGAUGAUGAUUCCGAACCAAUUCUCAAUAAACUGUUUAUAAUGGAACAGAAGCAGCAGUGAUUGAUGAUCUAACAGACAUUGACAUCAGGCUACCAAUGCUAGUCUUCCUGUGGGAGAUAGAAGCGGCCUUGGUUAUGCCGAGUUUUCUGUUGAUCUGUGUUUAUGUAAUCACCCGAGGAUGCAAACAAUUAAUCCCAUCAGCUAAAAGACUUGUUUGAUUCAAAACAGACUUUAGCAGAUCAUUUGUUUUUCUUAUCUACAGAACAUAAUAUAUUCUUUUUUUGGUGAUAUUAUGAUUGGGAAACAUCCAUUUCAUUUAACCAGAAAGCAUGGCAAUCUUUUCUUUGAACAAAUCUCCAUAAAUUACAGACAAAGAUAAAGCCGGAAACAAGAAAAUGUUGCAGAUAAAAUCUAACAAAAGAAAGAACAAUCGAAAAACUCUUCUUCUCCUUGUAAUUUGCUCACAACAAAACCUCUUCUUCAGAGCCUCUUAAAGUGGCUUUCCACUUGUCUUGAUAUCAUUUCUGAUUGCUCCUUGAAUCAUCUUAACGAUCAAAUACUGCAAAGUAGAAGAAAGGAUUUCACUUGUUUACCAAAUUCGAACAAGACAAUAAAUCAAACUGUGUCUCUUUCUUACCUGAGCGCCUAUGAUAAGAGGGAUGAGUUUCUUUCCUUUAUCAUCAGAGUAAGAUCCAUCUACCAUCUUCUUGUCUACAUGAAUUGCUUUCCUCUGGUUUGUUGCUACAUCAGUUAUCGCCUUAACCAAGUUCGGGAUCCACGCUUCACCAUUUGGAAGAGCCUGAACCGAGAGCAGGUAAGCAACUUUUAACAGUCAGUCUCUCUCCAAGUCGGAUCAAAUCAGAGAUUCGAAAACACAAACCUUUUCGUCCUUAUCGUUCUUGCUGCAUCUUCCGCUGUUCUCUGCAUAGACUACCGCGAUUGCAGAAUCCUACAAGCCAGUAAAGAAUGAAACUGAUUCUUGCUACAAUGAACCAAACAUACAUUGGUAUAACAAUUUUCGGAGACAGGUAUAUGUAUAAAUAACCAUACCUCAAACUCUUGUUUUCGCAUCUUAGAACCAGCCCGGAUAGUUUUGAGGAGAGAAUCUGAUCUCUUGGAGGAAAAAGUUUCGUAGGAAAGUUCAUCGGGAGGGGAAAAUUGAGCAUGAGUCAGAACAAGCAAGGUUUUGCACCAUAUCUCUUUUCCAAAGGUUUGGGUGAUUGCUAUAACAACUUGCUUAUCUAGCUCAUCGACUCUAUACACAUCCAAACGAUCAACAUAGAGCAAGACAUCUAUUGUUCUGUUCACAAGAAACCUGUCCAAAAUCCGAGAAACACAACAACUAUCGUAAAACUUCCACACACACUCCAAUAUACAGCUUCAGCGUAAACCAGAUACUCAUAAUUCACAAUUUCAACAGAAACCCACAAGUAAACAUGUUAACCACAUAUAUACUUAGCUUAAUUAAUUCAAAAACGAAUGAGAUAAUCCUAUAUGCAACAAUCAACGAAGAGAUAUUCCAAAAGAGUAGCUACUGACCCUUUGAUUAACUCGAGAGCUUGGUGAUUGACAUAUCCAGCUUCCACAAGUCCAGGGGUGUCAAUAAUGUUGAUAGUGAACCCUCCCAUUGUUCUUGAAACCAUCACUGGUCUCAAUCCUUCAGCCUACAAAAUCAACAAAACAGAGCCAUCAAAUAUCUUGAAAUGACUACUCUUUCUUAAUCCAAAUUAAAAAAAUCAAGCUUAGGGAAACUGAAUUACGUACUUGGAAAGGACUGACACGGACGACUUGUUCGCCGAUAAGAGAAUUGACAGUGGAUGAUUUUCCGACACCGCCUUUACCCAGAACAAGAACUGUCAUUGAGUUCAUAUCCUGCAAUUACAAAAACCUCCCAUCAUUAUCUCCUAAUCACAACGGAGAAUCCGAGAAACCGACUUAAGCACCAAAGAAACAGGAACAACAACAACAAAACACACCUUUUGCUUCAAUUUUCCGAAGAAUUCAAUCAGCUUUUCCUGGGUAGCUGCUGGAAAUUGCUGAAACCCAACCCAUUCACGAACGAGAGACCCCAUCACUCCUAAACCCUUCAGCAAAAAAAUUCUUUUGGUAAAUAAUCGCUGAGUGAUGACGAUGAUGAUAAUUAAUUUCGAAAGCGAUAACGUUUUGGGAGAUUUGGAGGAGCUUACCGUUGUGUGAGGAGCGUUUGAGGUUUUUGGAAGAAGCUCUCUCGAUGUGUUCCGCAGAGAAAAGCUAAAGAAUGUGACCUUAUCGGUAAUUUGUUUAAUAGUUCAAAUUAUUUUCACUUUUACUCCUCUAUUUCUUUAGUGUUUCUUUUUAGUGCCUUCAAAUUUUGAAAACUAACAAACUCAACCCCAAACCAAAUCCAGUUACCAAGUUGCAGCAUUACACUUCAUAUUUUCAUGGAAGACUACAUUAGGUGGAACAUUGAAUUAGCAUAGCGUCACGGGAGCUCAAGCGAUUCUCUGAACCUUUCUUCGCUUGUAAGUCAAGGAAAACAAAUGGUCACUAUUGGCUUCUCGAGCAUGAUUGUCUUCGCUCAGGACCCCCAGCGGUUUUCUCAGAGCCUUGGCUUCCCUCUGAAAGUUAUUACUAGACGAAAUCCUCUUGCUCUCUGUUGUUUCAGAGCCUCUGUCAACAGUCCUAGGCUUAAAACCAGGAGACUUCAGGUGGUACCGGACAUAUUCUUCUUGCUUUAGAGGUAUAUUCUGUUCUGUGAUGGAGUAAUUUGAAACACGGAGAGCACUGGGAACAGUGUGUGUUGGAUCAUGAAACACCGGUUCUGUACCUUGGAUUGAUCUUUGUGUAGUUUCCAAAUAGGUUAAGAAAGGGUCUGGGAUAGAACAGCCAAGAGUUCCGUAGGGUGGUUUCUCAAAUGUCGUACCUAAGUAUGGAGACGCUGCAAAUCUAGUACUCUUUGAACCGGUUUCAUGGAUUUGCAGGAGAUUGUUUCCUGGAGCUACAUAGGGUUUCCUGAGGAUGGCAGAAGAAGAUUUAGGGACUAAUUUGAGAACACCCUUUGGCAAAGUCUGAUGAUGAUGGCCAGCAGAAACUAAGCUGGAACCUUGAUACCGGAAUACUCCUUCCUUGGUUAUCUUUAUCUUGAGACUGUUCUUGGAGCUGCCACUGCGAGGGAAGGUUAAACUUUUCGAUCUAUUUCUUUCCACGGGUUUCACUACAUUGGGAGUUUUGAAUCUACAUGUAGCACUAUCCAUUUCCUUAGAUGGAACUCUAUUGAGGUCCAGUAGCUUGAGAUUACCGGUUUGAGUUCGUCCUGACCAAAUGAGGAGCCUUGAGUAAUUGCCCAAUUUAUUUCCAUACUGAACCCACACCCUUUGCAUUUCGGUAAAUGUCCUGAUCAGCUUUUCAUGAUAGAACUUUAAAGAGUAGUAAUACUUUCUCCUCUUGACAAACAUAACACCUUCUUUGAAACAAGCUACCUUUGGAGUAAACAAUCCACCUAGCAAAUUCUUGUAAAACUUAUCCUCUGGAUUCCCAAAAUAUAAAUUGGCACCAUCAAGAAGUUCCUGCAUCGUCAAACUGAAAGUCUGUGGAUCCAUAUCUGGCAGAAAACAUGAGAGGAAGAAUCUUUCUUCUUCAGUCAGAAGUGAGUUCCAAGUCUCAACAGACAAUAUUCCCGUUAAAUCUGGUAGAUCGUAGAGCUCGUAUGGUAUGUUACAGAGCUGACCUUCAACCAAAGCUAGCUCACAGUUUACUUGCGCAAUGUCGUAAUCAUCAGAGUCAUCAUCUUCAGAGUCUAGCCCAACUGUUUGAUUCUUAUUCAUCUGUAGUUAACCACUUACUACCCUUAAAACACAAGUACUUCAAAUCUCCAACCACAAACUCAGUAGAAAGGAACACAAGCAGGAGAUACCUAGAUAGAAAAUGUUAAAGACUCAUCAUCAGCAAUUCACAUUACAAGAAUUCUACUACAAUACAAUGGACAGCGAGAAGCUGAGUAUGUUACUAAUCAGAAAUCAAACGAACAUAAAUAGCAUUUUACUCACUGAUUUCAGCAACAACAACACUAAAGGCUAUAUAAAACACGAAAUAUACAUUGUGAGAUCAAUGAAGCACUCAAAAAGAAGAAGAUACACAACACCAGAAAAUCUCCCAGAUCGGAUCAGCUACAAAGCUUAAACGUAAUCGAUCGCGAACUCAAUCAAUAACCAAAAUCAAAAGCUCCAACAAGGCAAAUAACUAGAGAGCGAAAACCCUUGGAUUUGACAACAAAAAUGUGCAGACAAUUUGAAUAAAAAACAAGUAUCAUACAAAUCUCAGCACAAAUCAGCUCCAAUGAGUUUCAAAAACCUACCGGAACUAAUAAAAAAAAAGAAUCUCGAGAUAUUCAGAGAAAUCGAUCGGAAAGCGUAAAAGACGAGGAGCUUACCGGCUCUAAAGACAGGUGAAAUUAGCAGAUUAGGGUCGAAGAAACCAUAUCCCUUUGGCUACAGAUACGAACUUCAUCGCCUUCAAAGAUUCUCUGCUUCCUUUCUAGAGAUUUCUAUGGCUUUUCGAUCGAUGCGACAGUAGAGUAGAGACUAGAGAGACUAAUUACUGUUACACUUGUAUUUUGAUUUCUUUAAUUAAAGCCGCCUAAAGUAACUAAUGCCUUGAUUACUUUAAUUAAUAAUCAUUUUUAAAUUGUGAUUUAUAAUCAAGUUAGACAUUACUUCACAAAUAGUUUGGGCCUGGAAACGUAUAGGCCCAUGUAAACUUUAAUAAAAGAAUCACCUUGCAGGUAAGUAUAAUAUCCUGAUAUUAUUAUUUACUUGAUAGAAUGGGCCUAUAAUAAAAGAAAUCACCAUUAAAGAAUUAUAGGCCCAUGAUAUCAAGUAAAUAUCAAGAAAUGAUGAUUAAUGAUCAAGUUAGACAUCAUUACUUGAUAUUUUGGUAAGUAGGAUCAAUCAACGGUCAGGAUCCUUUUAGUAAAAUCAUGUGUCAUUUUCAGUUUGUCUAAAAGAUAAGCCUUUCACUUUCUCUCUCUGUCUUAUUAGAAAAGAAAAUUUGUACCGUUUCCAAAGUCUGAGCCAAUCAUUGUGUUGAUUCUGGAAUUCUUUGUGGGAACGAGAAAUUUGUACAAGGGAGAUUCAUCAUGGCUGAUAGUUGUUGUAUCAGACUUCACUUAUUAGCCUCUGUUUUCUUGCUCUUAUUUUCAUCCUUCAACUUGCAGGUACUUUAAACUUUCGUAAUCUGUGUGUUAAAAUUGCUUACUAAGAUCGAUUUGUUGGACUCUUGAGCUACAAGUUAAAAAAAAACAAAAUAAAUCAAACUUUGUGAUUUUUUUCUCUGCGUAUCAAUCUAAGACAUAUGAAGGGGAAAUGUAUAUAUGGUUUUUUGUAAUUGUUUCUAUAUCAGUAAAGUUUUAAACUUUUGAAGCUGGUUUAUCUCUUAAUCUCAGGGUAUUGCAGCGGAAAAUCUUUCCAAGCAGAAACUGACCUCACUGAUUCUUCAGGUUUUGAUCUUAAUCCACACAAUUAUCUGUAUUGUUUUCGUCUCUUUUAGAUUGCCUAAACGUUGAUGAUCAACUUUUGCAGAAUGAGAUUGUAAAGGAAGUCAAUGAGAAUCCAAACGCUGGUUGGAAAGCUGCUUUCAAUGAUCGGUUUGCAAAUGCCACCGUGAGUUUAUUAUCACCUCCAUGCUCUUAUCUCUUUAAGAGCUACGUUACUUAUCAUUGUUCCUGAAAGUUUGUGUUUUUGUGUAUGUAUGUGCAGGUUGCAGAGUUUAAGCGACUCCUCGGUGUUAUACAAACACCAAAGACGGCAUACUUAGGUGUACCUAUUGUAAGACAUGAUUUAUCGUUGAAGCUUCCUAAAGAAUUUGAUGCUAGAACCGCUUGGUCACAUUGCACCAGUAUUCGAAGGAUCUUAGGUCGGUUUUAAUCUCUUAGCUUCCACUAUCUCUGUCAUUAACCCAAUGAUUUACUGACUCUUCUUAUGUUUUGUUUCAAAUUAUCUCCCUCUUUAUUGCACUAAAGAUCAGGUGAAACAUCAUUUCAUUUGAGUGGGUUAUAUAUUGAACAAUGUGUUACUCUGGUCGACGAUAACUUUAUGGUUUUGGUUUCUUUUGGGUCAUUGUGGUUCUUGCUGGGCAUUUGGUGCUGUUGAAUCACUGUCCGACAGGUUCUGCAUCAAAUAUAACUUGGUAACACAACUUUCUCCAUCAAGCCAAGAUUGACGAUUGCUACAGCUUUUUAAUGUAAUUGCUCUUCUUCCCUUGCAGAAUGUUUCCUUAUCUGCCAAUGAUGUCAUAGCAUGUUGUGGAUUACUUUGCGGUUUUGGUUGUAAUGGUGGUUUCCCAAUGGGUGCAUGGUUGUACUUUAAGUACCACGGUGUAGUAACCCAAGAGGUAAAUUCUCAGCAAAGAACAAAUAAUAAUGGCAAUGUGGUCAAAGUGUAUUGAACUUUUGUAAUGCUGUUGGUUCUUCAGUGUGAUCCAUACUUUGACAAUACUGGUUGCUCUCACCCGGGAUGUGAACCCACUUACCCUACACCAAAAUGUGAGAGGAAAUGUGUAAGCAGAAACCAGCUAUGGGGUGAAUCAAAACACUAUGGUGUCGGCGCAUACAGAAUCAAUCCUGACCCUCAAGACAUUAUGGCUGAGGUUUACAAGAAUGGACCUGUCGAGGUUGCUUUUACCGUUUACGAGGUAAUGAAAAAGAUUUUUGAUUGAUCAAACCAUAUUGAUUAUAUCUUGGUGAAGUCCACAUUUUCAUGUAUCUUUUUGUUCUUCAGGACUUUGCACAUUACAAAUCAGGAGUAUACAAGUACAUAACGGGUACUAAGAUUGGAGGUCAUGCAGUUAAGCUCAUUGGCUGGGGAACUUCUGAUGACGGCGAAGAUUAUUGGGUAUGAAUUCUCUGGAUUUUGAUUCAGAUCAAGCUGAAAAAGUAAUAACAUUUUCUUGUUCGUUGUUGCAGUUGCUUGCAAAUCAAUGGAACCGAAGCUGGGGUGAUGUAAGUUCUUCUUUUCUCCAAUCAAAACUUUUAAAUUAGACCUUCCAAGUAAACAAAAGCACAGAACCUGAGAUAGAAAAUGUGAAAAUCUCAGGAUGGUUACUUCAAGAUCAGGAGAGGAACGAACGAAUGUGGCAUUGAACAGAGUGUUGUAGCUGGUUUACCUUCAGAGAAGAACGUAUUUAAAGGUAUUACCACUUCAGAUGAUCUUCUGGUUUCCUCAGUCUAAACAAGACGAUGUGUCCCUACUUCUGUAAUAUAUCAUUUGCAACUGUGUUGUAAGUUUAAUAUACCAUUGAAAGAAUCACCUUCAAUCAAAACAAAAGUAUGUAUAGCUUCUGUUAAUAUUCAAUUUUACAUGUUACCAUGCAAGAGGACUGUUACAGUGUUUAUUUGGUUUUGGUAAAUUAUAGCCACCUAAAAGUAACGCCUUAAUUAAUCAUUUUAAAUUAUGAUUAACAAUCAAGUAAGUGGAACAAAUCAACGGUCAGGAUCUUAUCCUCGCAGUAAUAUGAUCUGUCAUUCUCUAACUAAAAAGAUAAGCCUCUCUCUGUCUCUUCCUAGAAAAGAAAACUUUGUACCUUUUCCAAAGUCUAAGCAAAUCAUUGUUUUUGAUUACUGGAACUCGUUGAGGGAUUGAGAAAAAAAUAAUCAGAAGAGAAAGAUCCAUGGCUGAUAAUUGUAUCAGACUUCUUCACUCAGCCUCUGUUUUCUUCUGUUUAGGGCUUCUAAUUUCAUCCUUCAACUUGUUGCAGGUACUUGAACCUUCAUAAUCUGUGUUUGAAAUUGCUUACGAAUAUUUAUGCAUGUUAGUGCUUUCUUCUAGUUACGAUCUGUUUCGUAGCCUUCUCGGGUUUUUCUGGGUUUGAUCAUGUUUGCUUAUUUGUUGGACUCUUGAAGCUAGAAGUUUUAAAAAAAAAAAUCGAAAUUUUCUGGGUCUUAAUCGAAUCAAUGAACGGGAAACAUAUUUGUGAUAUCAGAAUUGUUUAAAGUUUUAAACUUUUGAAGCUGGGUUGUCUCUUAAUCUCAGGGUAUUGCAGCUGAAAAUCUUUCCAAGCAGAAACUGACCUCAUGGAUUCUUCAGGUUUUGAUCUUAAUCCACCCAAUUUUCUGUUUUGUUUUCGUCUCUUUUAGAUUGCCUAAGCGUUGAUGAUCAACUUUUGCAGAAUGAGAUUGUAAAGGAAGUCAAUGAGAAUCCAAACGCUGGAUGGAAAGCUUCUUUCAAUGAUCGGUUUGCAAACGCCACUGUGAGUUUCUGAUUACCUCCACCAUUCCUUACAUAUAUCCUAUCAAUGCUUAUCACUGUUCCUGAAAACUUGUGUUUUUGUGAAUCUAUGUGUAGGUUGCAGAGUUUAAGCGCCUUCUUGGUGUUAAACCAACACCAAAGACGGAAUUUUUGGGUGUGCCUAUUGUAAGCCAUGAUAUAUCUUUGAAGCUUCCAAAAGAAUUUGAUGCUAGAACCGCUUGGUCACAGUGCACCAGUAUUGGAAGGAUCUUAGGUCGGUUUUAAUCUUUUAGAUUUCCACUAUCUCUGUUUUUUUCUAUCCAAUGAUUUACUGACUCUUCUUAUGUUUUGUGUUAAAUCCUCUCCAUAAUCGUCUCACUAAAGAUCAGGUAACAGAUCAUUUACUUGAGUUUUAUAUUGCAUAAUGGGUUCUCAGACAGAUAUAAACAUUUUGGUUUUGGUUUGUUUAGGGUCACUGUGGUUCUUGCUGGGCCUUUGGUGCUGUUGAAUCACUGUCUGACAGAUUCUGCAUCAAAUAUAACAUGGUAACAUAGAUUUCUUACUGUAGCCAAGAUUGAUGAUGGCUAGUGUUUUUCUCUUCGAAUGAUUAAUAUUCGUUUCUUUUGUUCGUAUGCAGAAUGUUUCUUUAUCUGUCAAUGAUCUUUUAGCAUGUUGUGGAUUCCUUUGCGGUCAAGGUUGUAAUGGUGGAUACCCAAUUGCUGCGUGGCGGUACUUUAAGCACCACGGUGUAGUCACUGAAGAGGUAAAUUCACUUUUUAACUGCAAAGAACAUCUAUUAAUGGCAAAGUAGUUAUAAAACGUAUUCUUGAUUCUACAGUGUGAUCCAUACUUCGACAAUACUGGUUGCUCGCACCCGGGAUGUGAACCCGCUUACCCUACACCAAAAUGUGCAAGGAAAUGUGUUAGCGGAAACCAGCUUUGGCGUGAAUCAAAACAUUAUGGUGUUAGUGCGUACAAGGUCAGAUCUCACCCUGAUGACAUUAUGGCAGAAGUUUACAAAAAUGGACCUGUUGAGGUUGCCUUCACUGUUUACGAGGUAAAUACUAGGUUCUAGAGUGAUCAAAGAUAUGAUUAUAUUAUGGAACUCCACAUGUUCAUGUAUCUUUCUGUUCUUCUACAGGACUUUGCGCAUUACAAAUCUGGAGUGUACAAGCACAUAACAGGUACUAACAUUGGAGGUCAUGCUGUUAAACUUAUUGGCUGGGGAACUUCUGAUGACGGUGAAGAUUAUUGGGUAUGACUCCACUUUUGACGCUCUGGAUUUUGAGUUUCGAUCUAGCCAAAAAAUUCACAACAUUUUCUAUUCUUUUGAAUUGUUGCAGUUGCUUGCAAAUCAAUGGAACCGAAGCUGGGGUGAUGUAAGUUCUUCUUCUCUCCAAUCAAACUUUUACUUUCGACCUUCCAAAGAAACCACAGAACCUUAGAUAUAGAAUCUGAAAAUUUCAGGAUGGGUACUUCAAGAUCAGGAGAGGAACAAACGAAUGUGGCAUUGAACAUGGUGUUGUAGCUGGUUUACCUUCAGACAGGAACGUAGUUAAAGGUAUUACUACUUCAGAUGAUCUUCUUGUUUCCUCAUUUUAAACAGGAAUAUGUGUCUCUACUCUGUAAUACAUAAUUUCCCACUGUGUUGUUGUUACCAAUGAAAUAAAACGACUUUCAACCCAAAAAGAAGUCUAUUGUAUAUACCAUUUAGCUUUUUGUUCAUAUUCAAUAUAAUGUGUUGUUGUUUCCAAUGAAAGAAUCAAAAGACAUUCAACUAUUCUACAUAUCAUUUAGCUUUUGUUCAUAUUCAACUAUACAUGUUUCCUAUUUUUACAUUCUAAUAUCUACUGUUUGUAUCUAUACUGUUUCAUUCUGCACUAUGUGUGACCAACGGUGGAUACUUGAGGUUUUUCAGUUUACUAGAUUGGUCGGCGAUAAGCUGAGCAGUAGUAUUAGGACCUGCUUGCAUAAAGACCUCGUACCCAUCACCUAACAGACCAGUUCUAUUGGUCGUAAGCUGCCAGAAAACACCACCAGUACACGAACCACCAGCCCUUGCACUGUCGUAGAUAACAUCGUAAACUCUUUGGAAAAACUUGUUCCGUUUCUCUAAGCUAAAACCAGGGUACUUUGAAGAUUUCCCAAACUCUGUUAUCAGCAAAGGCUUCUUGAUGAUAUUGUCACAGUCUUCAAUAUGUGCUCCGAUCCAUCUGUCCACAAAUGUAUCUUGUUCUCCUGUUCUUGAGCUCUGUAAUGGUAGCCUGAUCUUGAUUUGGUACACAGAGAGAAUGUGUUAAAAGACAACAAACCAGAAAACCCAAUUUUGAUUCAUUGAAUAGAGAGACUGAUGACUUACCAAGAAUCCGGGUAGAUAUGGAUAGUGGCGAAAUCGAUAUCCGGAAUUUGGUUAUUGGUGAUGAAAUCUGUACCGGUUAAGACCCUUCCGCCGGGAUUGUAAACCGUUCUUUCCGGUAUAGAUUCUCCGUAGAACCCUUCAAGCCCUAUUUCCAGCAAAUGGUUUGAGUCUAUGGACUUAACAUAACUAGCCAUUUCCUUCACCCAAUCCUGCACACAAAAUGACACCGUUUAAGUAUGUAUACGUGUGCAUGUUGUAUAGUAUAAAUACAGAGGAGAGACAUAGAUACCUGAAGAAUAUUCGAAGCAGUGGAAUCAUUGCAGCGAGGUUCGUUGAUGAGUUCCCAUGAGAAGAUGGUAGGGUCAUCUUUGUACAUUCGACCAGUGAUUGUGUUUUUCCUCGUCAACACGGUCUGUUUCAUGGUUUUGUCAAACCGUCGGUUUAGUUUGAUUUUUAAGUCGGUACUAGUAUACAAAAUUCUAUAUAUGAUCUAAUCCUUUUACGAGAUAUUUAAUUUGGGACAUUUGUUCAAUAAUAAGUUAACAAACAUUUUUAGAUUGGUACAUUUGUCAUGUUUGUUGAUUACUUUUAAUUGAUCAAAACCUAACUUUUGACAUUUCAAAACCGUCGUUUAUCUCGCGUUAACGUGUACAAAUAUAACCUGAAUAUUUUGCCUUUAACGUGUCGUGUUACAUAUGAUGAUCUCUAGAUAUUAAAUUUAACUGAUAUUUAUGUAAUUAACAUGGGUUUAAUUUUCAUAUUAUUACUAACCUUCACGUGAUUCUUGUAGAAUUGCUUGACAGCUGAGUUUGUGUAGAAUUCAUCCGGUUCAUCUAAACCGGCCCAUUCCACGUACUUUUUUCUCCCUCCAUAGUCUUCGAAAUUAUUGACUAAACUAAUUAUCAAUUUAAUAUUAAAUCGUCCAGCUUCAUAGACGACAAAGUCUAGCCCCUGCUGUCACAAAACUUUGUAUCAGUAUUAGUACUCAUAAAACCCAAUUACAAUUUGUUGUUAGUUUUUCUAUCAAUCAAUUGUGAGAGUCUCUUUAUUAGGUCAACAAAAAUUAAAGGUGUCUAGUACCAAAUUAUGCUUCUAAUUAAUAUAAAUAUGAUUAACAAUGUGAAAGUCUAUCUAUGCUUUUGUCAUUUUUUGCGAUUAUCCACUUUAUAUUAGCGUAUGAAAAGGAGUAGACGACGAUUUUUUUACGAGAAAAAAAACAAAAAGGUUUGAAGGUCUUAUGUCGGAAGUAUAAUUUGAAAUUUGAAUCCUUCAAUUUAGAUUCAACAAACAACGGUCAUCCAAAGAUUAAUAUACAUAUGAUCAUGACAAUAAAAAAUAACAGUCAAUAUUUUUCUUUAUAAUUCCGUUUACUAGUGAAUCAAUACAAAAUAAUUAAGUAAAUAAACAAUGAUAAUUUUAUCAACUCAGUCAGCAAACGAUCAAUUCAUGAUUAAAAAUAUUAAGUUUGUUGUAUAAUUGAUAAAAACAUACGAAAUGGUGAUUUCAGCAUGUUUUGCAACGAGCCACCAAAGUUCUCAAAAUAUAAAAUAUUAAGUAUAUAUGUGUAUGUAUGUAUAUGCAUGCGUGUUACCUUGAAAACGUCUUCACUAUAGGAGCCAGGAGAGAUCUGAAGAGGAAUGUAAUCUCCUUCGUUGAAACCCCAAAUCCUAGCGACGUUCAUUCCCACCGCGGAGGCUUGCCGGAGCGCCGUCGUGACGGUAGCUCUUCCUUUAGAUGCCGUGUCAGCCGCGGUGGUCAUCAUCCAAUAAGCAUUGAAGCCGUUUAAGUAAACUUGUUCUCCGUUCAACACGAACUGCGUGCCGUUUCUCCCGACAAAGCCUGUCUUUACGGCGACGCAAAUGCGGUUGUUUCCGAUGAGAAACGGAAGAAAGAACAAGAAAAACGGUAAGAUGUUUAACAUUGUGAUACUUUUGCCGACUUGAAGAAAAGAGAAUGACACAACAUGAAACGUUAAGGACAUUUGUGUGUGUGGUGUUAUAUAUACAUUACAGAUGUCUUAGAGCCUACGUAUUUGAAAACUAUUCAUUUUUGUCACCAUAUUGCCUACGUUUAAUUGAAAAUAUGUACACGGAACGCGUGAAAUUUAGAUAAAGUUUUUUUUAACGUUUAUCUCAAAUUCACUUUUGAAAUUAUAUUCUUGGGUUUAAGAAAACUCUUUACUUUUUAAACUGAUACAUAUUAUUUAAAGGAAAUAGAUAUUUUAUAAUUUGGCUUAAAAGCGUUUAUUUUUUGGCUAAUUGGCUUGAAAGCGUAAUAUUUUUCAUUUCCCCAUUAAAACGGUUUCAGACUGUUAGAUUUAAAUAAAUUGUAAUCUUGUUGCAUUAAAGGUUUUAAAUAAAUGAUUUUGGCGAAUAUAAUAUUUUCUAGUAAGUCAUUGUAAAGUUAAAAAUAGAUAAUUUUGGUUUUAUAACAUAUUGAUGAUACGUAAUCGAAAUAAUAUGAUUUUUGGUUGAAUAAAAUGAUACCAAAUGAUCACAAUAAUUAUAUAUGCUUUUGAAUGUAAGCAUGACACGCAUGUGGAAUGGAGCUAUCAUACUUAAGCUAGUACAUAUGUAAUGUACGAUUAAUUUAUUUUCUUAGGUCGACGACUCAAUCAUGUAAGAUGAAUUAUUGAAUUUCAUUUCUCAACAGAAAUAAUUAUUGAAAUAGAGAAACUUCAUAUGGAUUUUUGUAAGCUCCAAUUGAUUCGAGAGAUAUCAGAUGUACUUUUAACUCUUCCCGGGUCCCCUAUGUUUGGACUUUUAUUAUUUAAAUUUGUUUGGCAAAUAACUAUGAAAUUUGCAAUGAUUAAAAAUUAAUAAUAGUUUCCCUAUCAAAAAAAAAAAAAUUAAUAAUAGUUUGGUCUAAACCAUGUGAAAUGAGAUCUAACUUGGGCCAUUCAUUCUUGUUCUCAAGUUUUACUUCACAAUAUUGGGCCCUUGAUAAAGCCCAUAUACUUGAUAUGGUUUGACUCUAUGGACUUACAUAACUAGCGCUCUGGGUCUUCAAUACACCUCAUUUUUCUUUGGGUGUUUUUAGGUGAAAUACGAAACCUAGGGGUUCAUUUAGCAAUUUUCAUCAUAAAGGGAAAAAGACAUGUUUAUAUUUUCCAAGUAUGGAUCAAAGGCUCUAACAGCAACAAAUGGGAAACAAUGUCAAGAAACUGGGGACCUAAUCUAUCUGGCAAAGCCUUUUACUUACCUUAAUGGCCAAAGUCUUUCCAUUCAAAAUCCAAACCAGUAAUGGCAAAAUCAAGACACUACUCAAUGUCGUUCCUUCGAAUUGGCAGUUUGGUUAGAGCUUUGAGAGCAACUUAAACUUCUGAAAGCACACUUUUACUAUGAACUAUGUAAACGAAGAUUUGUUUUCUUUUAAUGAAAUGUUACAGAAUUCCAGUACAACAUAAAUCUAACAUCCAAAAGAGUGUUGUUACCCGGUCAAGGAUGAAGUCUGCAAACAUGUUUUUACUUUUAUCUUCGCAUUACACGGUUACGCUCUCUCUUGCGAAAUCGUUCCAACAUGAUUUGAUCAGUUGCUGCUUGUCUGCUUUUCCCUGAAUCAGCAUUAUUAUUAGUACUACUGCUAGUAGAAGGUUUAGCUGCUUCACCGUCCGCUUGAGGUCCUCCUCUAUCUUUGUAUAGCUCAGGAUGCUCUGCGUUUUCAAAGUUUAUAUCAAUACAAGAACCAACACGCACAUGGACUAACAAAUGGAAAAAAGAGAAAAAAGGAUUCAUAAAGCAAACCUCUCCUAAGCUUCUCAGCAUAAUCUUUCCCGCGUUGGAAGUAAUCCGCACUAUAACUAGACGGGAUACUAAACUCUGACUUUGGCCGACCCAUAAGUCUCCUCUCUUGCAAAAGCUUCUUGGCAGCUUCAGUUUCUUCAAUGUUCUUCAGCUUGUAUCUGAAUAUUAUCCAUCCAAACAAAAAAAACAUUAAUCUCUAAAAUACUCAAAUACACAUUUAUCUUACAUCUAUGAUUGAGAAUGUAUUCAUACUCAAUUGGGAGUUGGACUUCUGCUAUUCCGGUAGUCCACUGCGUCGAGCUCUCUUCCGAGCUACGCUUCUUGACCUGAGAAGGAAGGAAGGCUUUUAGUAACAAACAACAAUCUUAACCCCUGUUAAACAUCGACACUAAACAACUUACUUUAAGAUGAUCAGGUAUCUUAUAUAACUCAUCUUCCACUCGCUUCAAUUCGUUCUCAACCUCCUCUGCAUCAUCAAUAUUUCUUCCCCGUUUCUUCGCCAAUUCUUGUUCAAUGUACUUUACCCUAAAGAAUCAAAACAAUCCUCAACACUUACAAAGACAAAGACAAAGACAGCUCACUCUAGCUUAAUCUAUUUAACUACCAAGCAAACUAGGUUACAAUUUUUGUAAAGAGAGAUUUGCUUACAUGUUGGGAUCUUCAAUCAAAACAGCAGUCUCUUGAGCAAAAGUAUCUUGCAACACAAGCUCCUCUUUCUCUCCUUCAGUUUCAGUUUUCUCCACUGGUUUCACUUUUCCGAUGCUAGAUUGCGCCGUAGAAGAUAAAGCUGGGAUACCUAAUUUCCUCUCUCGCAGCUUCUGCAAAAACUUCACCUCCUCUAACGCCAAUCUGUAGAUCAAACAAAAAUCGAACCUUUUCAACAACCCAUCAAAUAAAUUGAAGAAAAUCAAAACCCUACAGAUUUGCUUUUCAAUUUAGAGCUGACCUUCGCUUCUCUUCUUCCUCUGAAAUUGCGGCUUUGUUUACAUCAUUAUCUUCUUCUUCCUCCUCGAAGCUACGCUUCCUGAAAUUUCUCUUCGGCGGCAUCGCAGCCAGAAACUAUCGGAUUUUUGAAAGAGCUAAUGCGACUUGAGACGACGACGACGAUAGGCUUUUAGGUUGAUCUGAAAACAGACUCUCCGUCGGCUAAAAUCACAAGCGAAACAUUUAAUAUGGGCCCUAUUAGUAAGCCCAUUAUGUAUUAAAAAAAUAUAUUUAAAUGAGAUAAUUUACUAACAUUUUAUUUAGGGCCAUAUUAGUUAGCCCAUUAUACAUUUUUCCAGGCCCACGUUAGCUUCUUAUUCAACUUAAGAAGUGUAUUAAUCCAUCACUGGUCCAAAAGCUCUAGGACGAACACUUGAUCUCCAAGCAAGCAAUAAAAAUCAUCAACAAGAUAAUCACAGUAACACCUUUUUAUUCAAUACAGUAGUGUUAAAUAAAAUCUUUCUAGGUAACGGUUACAUUAUAUUUUCAUGUUUUUAUUUUUUUUUUAAACUUUUAUGAAUUAUUUUUUAGUGGCAAGCCUUUCCUUAAUCUUAUCAACCAUCUUAGAUCCCACUUGAAAAGUCUUAGUUAACACAUCUUCCGGCAAAGCCGGCUCUGCCGCAAAUAGGGUUGCCGCAACAGAAGCCGUUCCCGGCAACUGACUAUUAAAUGCCGACAAAACCGACGCGGGAGAUUUCCCAUUGUUCUUUUGAAAAUGCACAAGCCCUCUUGGAAAAACGAAAACUUCACCAAUCUUUAUGGUUUUAGUGAAAAGCUUAUUCGCUGUUGUGAUAAAUCCAACCUCAAGCUCUCCUUCUAGAACGUAGACGACUUCGGUGGCGCGUGGGUGAGUGUGCGGUGGGUUUAAACCUCCCGGCGCGUAGUCUAUACGUGCUAAGGAGACGGAGAGAGUGUUGAGGCCUGGGAUCUUUUCCACGUUGGCUCCUGUUACGGCCGAACCCAUCGUAGAGUUUAUGACGGCGGGUUUUGAGAUUCCGGCGAAGAAGAAGUCGGACUCCGUGAUGUUUAAUGUUUCCUUGCACGGAAAUCCAUUCAGUUUGGUUCCUGCGUUUCGCACAUCGUGCCGUUUAGGUUUUAUAUCAAGUCAACAUAGAUUUAAUAAUGGUGUAAUAUUCCCACAAAAUAUCUAUAUAUUAAAAUAUCUCUAAUUUCAACAUAUUAAUUUUAUUUUUGAUUUGAAAUUUAGAUAAGAUGUUCAUAGAGUUUGAGAUGAUCCUCCUGAUACAUAGAUAUUAUUAUAACAUCACGAUAGAUUAAAUUUUCGAACAAAGGUAAUUUCUACCGUGAGAUUUAUCGGCAACGCAGAGAUCUUGAAGAGCGUCGGGAUCGUAUGCACGAAUUGAAGUGAUCAUAAUGCAAGAUAACGCAAUGAUAAUAGAAAUUCUUGAAUUCAUCAUGGCUCCAAAUUAAAUAUAUCCGUGAAAAGAUGAAUUUUAUUUAACUAUGAGAGAAGAAGCUCGAAGUUUUUGGUACUUAUAGAAUCAGAGACCAGUUUGAUCGACAAGUCAUUUGCUUGGCGAAAUAAAAAACCAAACAUUUUAUUUGUCUUGACCAAACUAAGAAAUGUACGUCAUAGCUAAUUAGUAGGUAAAACUAUGCCUUUCUGACAUUGUUUUUCACUAAAGCCAAGCCUUAUUGAGACAAAAGGAUAUGUAUUUGUAAAAUAAUACGUAUAUAAGUGUGCGCCUGUGUCUGUGCGUGUAGAAUUUUUCUUUUUUUAUAUAUAAAUAUGAAUUGUGUCUCGAGUUUCGGACGUAAUAUUUCUUGUGUGUGUAUUUACCUAGCUCAGAAAACAAAAGAAAAGAGAUUAUUACUCACAAGUCACAACUUUAAAACAGAAAACAUUUUGAAUUUUCCACAAAAAAAUGAAUAUAUCAACUGUGGAAAAGCGAUGUGUAAACACAAAACGCAAAUCAAUAAUUGAUGUGUAAGAAAGUGAUUAAUAAUUCUCGAAGUCAAGUUUCCUCAUUUCUUCUUUUGAUCUUUUCUCAUACAUCCGGCCCUAUAUUUGGCAGAGCCACAUCCUAACUUCUAAGUAACAUGCAGUGUGCAGAGGUAAGUUAAUGUUACUUUUUGUACAUUAACAUUAUCAUAGUGUAUGACCCACUGGUCCUGAAUUUGAGAUGCUGAAGAUAAAGCUAGUUGGGAUGCAUGUAACCAAGUGUAAACGUUUGAGACGCUUAAGAAUCAGGGAAAUCUUGUUCCUACGUUCAAUGCUCUUAUAAGCAUGUCUCAAUAUAUUUUACAAAAUAUCAGAUAAAUGAAAAAAUUGUUACAUGCAAGAAUUUAUACAAAAAGUUUUAACUUAUUGAUUAUUAUUAAUAUACAAAACCACCCGGAAAAAAAAGUAUAUGACACAAAUGGUUCACACAAACUGUCCUAAUUUGGAACUCUUUUCUCUCUUAAUUAGUCAACGAUCAUUUCACAUAAACUUUUAUCGAGCUACUUACUUAUCAUAGUCUUCUCAUCGCAUGGGAAGAAAAAUCCAAGAAACUUGGGAAAUAAGGAACCAAACCGUGAAGAGACUGAGGAGAAGAAGCUGGUGAUGAUGUUGUAAGAAAUAGAGAUUGACUAGAUGAAUGUGGGAAUGAAAUAUUAGUAAACGGUGGUAAUGGCCAAUUUAACGCCGGAAUUAGCGGCGAUGGCAUCAUGUGAUUCGCCGGAUUUAGGCCGUGAGCCGAAGCCAUUGCCGUCAGCAUGUGGUUGUGCAUUCCAAAUCCUAAUGUCGCCGGAAGAAAAUAAGGAUUCACCCCCACUGUUGACAUCAUCUGCAAUUAUAACAUCAACUUUGAUUACAACUUAGUUUCUGAAUAUAAAUAGCACAUAUACAUAUUCGAAUGAUCAAAAUGGGUACAUAGUUCUAUAAAAUAUAAAACAUUUAGUUGGCACUAAAUAAUCACAUGAAAAGAGAUGAAUUCGAAAUAUUAAAGAAAUUCUAUAGACUUCACCAUCUAGGUUAUCUACUGCCUACUAUAUAUCAUUCCAUUUUUUUCGUCACUAAACACCAAAAAGUGGCUAUAUUUGUUUGAUCAAUUUGAAACCCAUAUUGUAAAACAAUAAUCCAUAUCUCAUAAGUUGGCGAGUCAGAUCGAAUACCAAGAACAGUUUAUGUCAACUAGUUAAAUUAACCAAAAAAAAACUCAGACUAUUAGAUAAACACUUAAAACCUCAAGCCUCAAUAAUUCAAAUAUAUGGAAGAAGAACACUGAAUAAAGUGUGAAAUAAAAAUAGUGAAUAAAGUUAAAUAUAGACCUGAAGUUGAAGUUGAAGGUUUUUCAUAUACUCUAUGGUCUUGUCGAGAACCGAAACCUUGUCCGUCUGAAAACCGUAAAAAAGCACCACCCGUUAUCAGAAUUGGAAACUUAAGGCAAGAUUUCUUCAUAUAUGCAACGGAAGUAGCGGAAACUUAUACGGAAAAGACUAGACACUCAAUAGUUAAAUUGAAACAUUAUAUAGAAGGAUCUAUAUACACACCAACCUUGUGACAAUUAGGUACGAGUUGCUGUAGCUUACGCAUCUUAUUACUCAUCUUCUCGUCUCUUCUUCUUCUCUUGGAACCUUUUCGAGUAACUGAAGGAACUUCUCUUGUAAACUCCUCCGAUUCAUCCUAAAUUAAUUAAUUUUAUUUAUAGAAAGAAAAAAUUAAAAACAGUGAAAAAUGAUAAUACAUAAGGUAACAUGAAAAUAUAUCUAUGUAUCGACUUACAUCACUACUUAAGACCUGGAUACGACGUUUUUUGGGGUUCUCAUGUUUGUUUCUCAGAUAAAAUCGAUGAUCUGAUCUCUCUGAAAAAUCUUUAAUAUGAUGAUGAUCAUCAGUUUCAGAAUGUUCAUCAGGGACAACAACCAAUAAAUCCUCCUUCGCAUUUUCUACUUCUUUAUGAAUCUCUGGAACAAUCUGAAGAUAAUUAUCAGUUUGAUCAUGAUCAAAGUAGCCGUAGCCCCAUUUUAGACCGUUGAUUAGACGAUCUUCAUCACUUCUUGCUCUUUCUGACAUCAUGCCCUGAUCUUUCACAGCAAGUGAUCCGACGUCGUUUCUCCAUCCCAAUUCCAUGAAAGCUUGAUUAUUCGACCUGCCAAGAAAAAAGUAGUAAACUAUUAGGGUUUACGAUACAAAUCAUUGAUAAAUUAUUAAAGAAAUAAAUAAAGAGAAUAACAAGGCAAGAAACCUAAACUCUGAAACCUCCUGUUUAAUUAUACUUACAUGUUAGUUAAAGAGAUAUCGGAGAUGAAAAGUUUGGAGAAGUGUUUUUUCUUUAGGGAUUUCAGCUUUGUCCGAGAAAAUGGUAUCCCAUACGCUUAUGUUAUAAGAGCGAUCGGAUCAGAUAGAUGGUAUAGUUGUCAGCUACAUUGGUGACCCACUUAUAUUGUGCCACGUUUCAAAGUAUGUGUGGUUCGUUUGUUGCGUACACCGACAACAAUAAAACAAUUCGGCUAGAUUCUAACAUACAGCUACACGAGGUUAUUAUAGACAUAUUGAUGUCAUUUGAGUUCUUUGGAAACAAUACUUUUUUGGAUUCACAACAAACAUUGUAAUGAAAAUAUUGUUUUACUAAAAUAAUUAAUACAGUAAUUAAAUUAGUUUUUAUUUUGGAAAAGUAUUGUCAAAUAAUUCCAUUAUCACAAAUUCACAAUGUACUUAAAUGGAUUAUUAUUCUGCUUAUUGUUUUUAUGAUUCUAUACGUAAUUGUCCCAAAACUACGUCAUAGUAGCAUAUAUCGACUUUAGAGUAAUCUUGAAAUUUUGCACAGAAAGAUAAAAGUAAUCUUGAUUAAUCAAUAACGUCACUAGAUUCACUACCACUUUGACACAUGAACAUAGAGAUAAAUUUAUCUUUGUACGUAUAGAAUGUAUUCAUUUAUAUAUUGAGAUUUGAGAGACAGUUUAAUAGUAUUUCUUAACCAAGAACUGUAAUGCACAACGGGUAGGGCCAUUUUUAUCCGUUUAAUUAUUUUUCCCGUAAUCUUAUCGUUUAUCAUUGAAUACUCGUCAUUAAGCUUUAUCUUUAUAUAUAUAUAAAACAAUGUAAAAUAUCGGAUGUCUAUUUGUUUAUUUUUGGUCAGAUCAUCUCUAAAUAUAAAAACAAAAAGAUGACGUCUCCGUUUGGAAAAAAAAAGGUUGACUACCACAAGUUUCAUAAUAUAAUCGACAAAAAAAUAUCGUCUGUAACAACGAUAAGAUUAUUCGAUCUCCCAAUUGGUAAAUUCGUUAUUAUGAAAGGCUUACAAAAUUCAGUAACCAGCAAUCAUAAUAAUUUCAGAGUUAUGAUACUAGAGUUCACUUUUUUGUGCAAUAAUAUAAUGGUCGAUUAUUUCCAGCCUGAGAAUGCAUUUCAUUUCAUGACCAUUUAUGGAUUCCUGAAAAAAGAAUUCAUUUAGGGUUUUAUCCAAAAUCCCACGUGGGUUGUGGGCUCUAAACCAAUCCUAUAACGAAUCAGUUUUUUUUGUUUUCUGUAACCCCACGACACAUUUAUUGGAAUUUUAGAGUCACGUCAUCAUCAACCAUACACCGAGCAGGUGCGAUGGUCCACAUUAUUACUAUCUUUGAUAAAAAAGGUCCACACUAUUUUCCUUAAUUAAAAAAAACUCCAAUAAUUACAACAUAUUCUGAAUAAACAAAAAUGACCUGGUUACUAAAUAUCAACAAUCAAAAAAAAAAAAAAACAGUAUCAAAUUCUAAUUUCGAAUUAGUAGAACAAAAAUACUAAUUAUUAUUAUUCAAUUGACUAAUGAAUGUUAACUUUGUAGCGUUGAAUCAAAUGGGCCUGAAAAAAAUCGAAAAAGAGAGAGAGAGAGGAAGAAGAAAAGGCGUGUUCACGUGAUGCCCUCGUGAUGGACAUGGUGCUAUGUCUGACACUUGGGUACUUUAUAUUUUGUUGGUGUCUUAGCGAGCGACGAAGCAAAACCACAGCCACUACAUAGGUUUCCAAUCUCCUUCACGACAACGACCUCUCGGAAUAUACGUUCCAAUCUACAACUUCCCACUGUUCAAUCUAUUUGAUAUUAUGGAAAAACUUUGCAUUAUUGAUUCUUAUUUUAAUAUUUUUCUCUUGUUCCCACCGUUUUGGUUGGAAUCAUAUACUAUACGAAGUACUAUUUGUGUAUCUAGUGGUUGAUUGACGAUUUUUAUUUUUGUUGUACAUUAAAUGCAGCAUCUAUGAUCUAUCUAUCUUCUUCUUUUUUUGCCAAAUAGAACGUUAUCUUUACUGGGCUUUUAGGUUAGCCCAUGUAAUGUUAUUAACCCAAAUAUGAAUUUAUUAAGGGCCCAUCAAUGAGGAGUGAAACAUGUUAGACAAAACUGAGAACAGGCCUCUACUUCUUCUUUUCGUAGCGAUCGCCAUGGAAAUAUCAAAUGUCUCUUCUCCGUCCGGCGGUGUCGCAGCCAUUUCUCUCAUAAUUCUUCUCCGUCCUCGGUUACUUGCUUAUGAUUCUACUAAUCUCUGUUGUUUCCGGUUGAUCAAUCGUCGAUCUUCUAAACUCGAAGGCGGAGGAGGUAUUACCGUGACGGCGGAUUGACUGAUCCUCAGCGGAGUAUGUAUCUUGACACGCGAGGAAAAAUGUUUUUUUUUUUCCCUUUUCCUAUUGUGGUUUCGAUCGAAUUCGCUUAAUUCGAUUUUGUUACAUGAAGCGUUAAAUUGAGCCAAUGUAUAUGAUUUCGAAAGCAAAAAUUAGUUAUCUACAGAACAAAUUGUCUUGUAUCUGAUAGUUUAGUGGUUUGAAAUUCACUAAAAGAGUUUUAGUAGAAUGCUCUGUCUUGGUUUAGUGGAUUUAAGCCUUGUCGUUGUUUGCAAGUUUACUAGAAGAGUUUUGGUAGAAGCUCUGUUUUUGGUUUAGUGGAUUUACAUUUGUCGUUGUGUGCGUAAUUCAGGUAGAUAUUGUUUCCCAUUCCCAGGUUUGUGUUGUGGAAUGGGAAACUGAGGCCGCUUCUGUCAAAGCCAAAGGGCCCAAACAGUUGGUUCUUUCAGGAAAGGAAUCACAAUGUUGCCAGAGGCAAUCUCUGCAAGGUAUUGUAUUAUAUGCUAAUGAAUCUGUUUUCUUUCACCCUUUUCAAUGAGAACAGUGCAAAAAUCAUUAUCUUUUUUUUUAUUUGGGCAGGUUGAGUUGCAACUUGCAAAGUUAAGGAAGCUCUCAAGUAUUACUAAGAUGGAUAGCAGAGGAUACAACUCGACUUAUGAAACUCUGAGGGGAUAUUCUCUGUACAGAGCAAAAGUGUAGCGAUGACUGCUCCAUCUCAUGUUGCUAACAGUCUUUUUCCCCCAAUUUUCUGUUAAGUUUUUGGAUUUGUGAAACCAGUUGUGUGCAAAUUCAAGUAGAUACGUUUGGGAUCUUAUGUUUUGUCGCCAAAAUUCCCAUAUACAAGCUUGUCGAUUGAAUAUGCAUACUUAAACUAUCUUAAUUCUUAAAUCAUGUUGGAUUUGUAGACUUUCCCAAUGAUGAGUGACUUGAUGAUAAAGUUGCUGAAGCUGUGGUCUUUCAUCAUCUGGUCAUGAUUGAUGGAUAUUCUUUGGUGGCAAAUAUGUUGCUGCUGGUGUCGCAUUGGGUCGGUGUGUGGAAGGGGCUUACCCAAGCCAAUGAUUUCAUUUAUAGGUCCGCUUACAAGUAAGAAAAUUAUUAAACGAAAACCAAUUAGAUACUAAGAUUGCAGAUUAGACUUUGACAAGACAUAAGUAUGUGAAGGUUCCCAUUAAUAUCCUCAUAAGUGAUUUUACAACUUGUGGCCAAAAGAGCAAAAAUUACACAAAGCGGGAGAAAGAUAGUUUAAGUCUAGAACAAAUCGAUCAUAACUCUUGAAUCUUGCGGAUCUUCGUGAAGAGGUGAGAUCUUGAAACUGUCGGGUCUUGGAGAUUUCUGUUGAUGCGUGUAAUGGAAAGAUGGAGAAGAAGAAGAUGGUGUAAGAAUUAUGGAGGAAGAAGAAGGGAAUUCAGAGAUUGUAGGGUGAAGGAUUUGUGUGAGUAGAAGAACAAUUGACGCCAUUGAUGAUCAACUUCGAAAAAGCUUUGUAUAUUUAGGGUUUUGGUGUAGAUUUUGUUUUCUCAUGUGAUUCUUAUCUGCCUUUUAUAUAUAGAGAGAGAAAAAGUGGGCCUGUGGUAUUGUGGAUCGAUGUUGUGUGUUUUAGAAUCCAGUGGGACUCUUAAAUCUUUGGGUAGCAGGCAGCAAGUGGUUUUUGUCUGACUUUUGUGUCGCAUUUAUAUCUCGCCCCCAAAACCAGCUGUUCCAC